Molecule: ribosomal RNA, 255 nt
Filed under: uncultured bacterium
Lineage: Bacteria
Description: partial 16S ribosomal RNA
Source: RNAcentral
CUGCUGCCUUCCGUAGGAGUUUGGGCCGUGUCUCAGUCCCAAUGUGGCCGUCCACCCUCUCAGGCCGGCUACUGAUCGCUGCCUUGGUGGGCCGUUACCCCGCCAACUAGCUAAUCAGACGCGGAUCCAUCGUAUACCACCGGAGUCUUUCACACUGCCCCAUGCGGAGCCGUGCGCUUAUGCGGUAUUAGCACCUAUUUCUAAGUGUUAUCCCCCGGUAUACGGCAGGUUAUCCACGCGUUACUCACCCGUCCG